ACGGAGGGAGCUAGCGUUGUUCGGAAUUACUGGGCGUAAAGCGCACGUAGGCGGCUUUUUAAGUCAGGGGUGAAAUCCCGGGGCUCAACCCCGGAACUGCCCUUGAAACUGGGAAGCUAGAAUCUUGGAGAGGCGAGUGGAAUUCCGAGUGUAGAGGUGAAAUUCGUAGAUAUUCGGAGGAACACCAGUGGCGAAGGCGGCUCACUGGCUCGAUACUGACGCUGAGGUGCGAAAGUGUGGGGAGCAAACAGGAUUAGAUACCCUGGUAGUCCACACCGUAAACGAUGAAUGCCAGUCGUCGGGCAGUAUACUGUUCGGUGACACACCUAACGGAUUAAGCAUUCCGCCUGGGGAGUACGGUCGCAAGAUUAAAACUCAAAGGAAUUGACGGGGGCCCGCACAAGCGGUGGAGCAUGUGGUUUAAUUCGAUGAUACGCGAGGAACCUUACCAGGGCUUAAAUGUAGAUUGCAUUAGCUAGAGAUAGCUAUUUCUUCGGACUAUCUACAAGGUGCUGCAUGGUUGUCGUCAGCUCGUGCCGUGAGGUGUCAGGUUAAGUCCUAUAACGAGCGCAACCCCUGUUGUUAGUUGCCAGCGAGUCAAGUCGGGAACUCUAACAAGACUGCCAGUGCAAACUGUGAGGAAGGUGGGGAUGACGUCAAAUCAUCACGGCCCUUACGU
This 679-nucleotide ribosomal RNA is filed under the name Heterosigma akashiwo. RNAcentral's name for it is "partial Bacterial small subunit ribosomal RNA". It matches the Rfam family "Bacterial small subunit ribosomal RNA", at positions 525 to 1207 of the family's 1533-position model. Lineage: Eukaryota; Raphidophyceae; Chattonellales; Chattonellaceae. The record is from RNAcentral.